Long non-coding RNA from Saccostrea cuccullata (small rock oyster), 238 nucleotides. RefSeq lists it as uncharacterized. Lineage: Eukaryota; Metazoa; Mollusca; Bivalvia; Ostreida; Ostreidae. The transcript has 2 exons. The record is from RefSeq and is a predicted model, not a curated record.
UCCUCCUUUUUGAGAUUAUUUUGAUAAUAAAAUGAUAAAUUCAUUAUUUACGGAAAGGUCAGCUAAAUAUUACAGUAUUCCUAUUACAUAUUAUGUUGGGUUUUUUUUAACAGGAUGCUUGUUUUGUUUGUCACUAAUAGACAUCCCCAACCAGUGGCCAUACACAUGGAAAACGAGGCCACAGACUUGGGCUGACAUAUUUAAAAAUCACGGUUUGAUGAAUAUAUUGGGCCAUUUA